This 275-nucleotide ribosomal RNA is filed under the name Pseudoalteromonas sp. SWYJZ19. RNAcentral's name for it is "partial 23S ribosomal RNA". It matches the Rfam family "Bacterial large subunit ribosomal RNA", at positions 1 to 177 of the family's 2925-position model. The record is from RNAcentral. Lineage: Bacteria; Pseudomonadati; Pseudomonadota; Gammaproteobacteria; Alteromonadales; Pseudoalteromonadaceae.
GGUUAAGUGACUAAGCGUACACGGUGGAUGCCUUGGCAGUUGGAGGCGAUGAAGGACGUAUUAACUUGCGAUAAGCUUAGUCAAGCUAGUAAAAAGCGCUUGAGACUAAGAUUUCCGAAUGGGGAAACCCACNCCUUGGCAGUUGGAGGCGAUGAAGGACGUAUUAACUUGCGAUAAGCUUAGUCAAGCUAGUAAAAAGCGCUUGAGACUAAGAUUUCCGAAUGGGGAAACCCACCUGCUUGCAGGUAUCGUUAACUGAAUACAUAGGUUAACGA